RNAcentral lists this microRNA precursor (67 nucleotides) under Mus pahari (shrew mouse). Its description in RNAcentral is "microRNA 6922 (MGP_PahariEiJ_G0006830.1)". The record is from RNAcentral. Lineage: Eukaryota; Metazoa; Chordata; Mammalia; Rodentia; Muridae.
AUUGGUGUGAGAGGGGACUGUAGAGAGGAGGGUGCCUAACCUCUGCCCCGCUCACACCUUCUUACAG